AAAUCUAAAUAUUUAAGAUUAGGAUUGUAAGUGUGAUAAACCCACAAUUAAAAUAGGAUUGGUCCGAAUUGGAUGGACUUACCGAUUGGCAUUUGUACGUGAGAAAAUAAAAUUUAAAAAAUAGGAAAUCUGUAAAUGUUUUAAGUUAAGAUUUUCUCCUCCGACAUAAAUAUAAUCAUUAUCGAUACUUUUCUAUUUCGUCCGCCGCUCUCUUCUCUCCGUCUCACCCAAAUCCAACUUUUCUCUUUUGAUUGAAGGUCAAAAGUUAGAAAGUGAUCUCUUAAAAAUUAAAUCCAUCCAAAAAUGAGGCAAGGUUUGUUCAUAUACCUUCCAUCAGACAAUAUUCUAUUGAGAUUCUCUCCUCUUGAAAACAUUGCAACUUGCAAACCAUGGCUCAAUUUGAUUGAGAGUGACGCAUUUCUCAAGUCACAUCUUUCUAUAUCCACUCCCGCCCUAGUUGUCUCGAUGCCGGCCGGCUACAGAUUCAAAUUGGUUCAAUGUUUUCGAAUUGGAAGACAAGCACAAGCAUAAACAUGAUCCAAUCACCAAGUUUGAUUUCCCCCAAGCCUCAAGAAUAGAGGGUUCAGCCAACGGAUUGCUUCUUCUUAAAAAUCCUUUUAUUGAUCAUCUGUAUAUAUGUAAUCCGAUCACCCGUGAAUUUGUUGAGCUUCAUUGGUGUCUUACUCACCCACUUCGGUUGGGAGAUUGUUAUGGAUUUGGAUUGAGCAAAAUAAGCGGACAACAUAAGAUUGUCUAUCUUAAUCCUAGGUACAGCGGAUGUCAUAUAUACACUCUUGGAACUGGAUCUUCAUGGAGGCGCAUUAAAGCCGCUGCCCCCUCGUUUCGUCGCAGCUUCAAUUCAGCUGGUGUAUUAGUUAACGGCAAUCUACAUUGGCCAGUUACAAACGAUAAUUGGUUUCCUUACAUUUGCUGUUUUGAUCUUGAGACAGAAAGUUUUAGCACCUUCUCUGCACCUGUUAGAAGUUUUUGCGGAAUGUUGUAUACUUUGGUGGGCUGUUUGUGUUUCAGUGAUGAUGUCCCACAUUUCGUUGAUAAUAUACUCUGGUUGUUGAAAGAAUACGAACAAGUUGAGAAAUGCUGGUGCAAGGUACAUUGCAUCGUCCGGCAAGGAGAAUACAUAAGGGUCUUGGUGGAUGAUAUGAUCUUUGGUCAAGAUGAACUCACACGUCUUCAGCCUAUCAAUAUUUACAGAAAUGGUGACAUGUUGCUGCUGUUUGAUGAGAAGCUCUUUCAAUACUAUUCUAAAAAGAGGCGAUCUAUUAGAGAAAUUGGUGUAUUUGGUAAAAUGGGUACUGAUUGUUACUAUAUCAAUUCCAUUCUUCUCUCUCUAAGUUUCUUUCCCUUAAAAGAAUUUUGGUAUGAAGAAUGUAAUAUCAUUUUAGUUAACAUUUUUAUUCUUAUCACAUGACUUGUAAAUUUACUUAUGUAGAUAUUAUUAAUUGGUUGUUCAGCUA
Long non-coding RNA from Salvia splendens (bonfire salvia), 1475 nucleotides. RefSeq lists it as uncharacterized. The transcript has 2 exons. The record is from RefSeq and is a predicted model, not a curated record. Lineage: Eukaryota; Viridiplantae; Streptophyta; Magnoliopsida; Lamiales; Lamiaceae.